AGGCCACCAAAAUAUUUGAUCAACUUCCAAAUAUUAUUGUACAAAAGAGAAAGAGGCUUUUGGCACGAGUGCAUCCGCCAUCAACAGCAAGUGAGCUGCGCAUCAUUGGCACAGAAAAGGAAGAGAAAAGCUCCACCGGCCACCUCUGUCAUGCCACCCAUGGCAGCAUUCUCAGAAGACACCACCUGCUGUGCUCACUGCAGGGAGCAUGAUCCACCUGCAAGCUCCCGCAGGAGUGUAUGUCCGAGGUGCUAUGGGUGUGCUGUGACUUCUGCCAGCACUGGUUACCUGCAGUGGGUUCUAGAGGUGGUGGUGAAGCUGGAUUUUUUUAUUGUGGUUUCUGUGACAAUAUAGGGAUGGAGGUCGAGAUGUAAUUGUUUGUUUUCAUAUUACAUUUUUUAUUUGUAAAAAAAAAAGUCUAAAAUAUAUUUAUUCAACCCAUCUUGUGUAUUUCAUCCUUUGCUUUCCAAGUUCAUCUCUGCAACACAAACUCCAACAGUGUUUUAAUUGUUUGUCAAUUGUGAUGGCCCUCCAACUGCUGAAUUCUUUCUCUUUGUUCUUGUUUUCCCUAAUGGGAUGUCGGUGGGCGGAUCCGGGAGUGUCGUCAGCGAAAUGGGACACACCUCGGCCCAGGUGUGUGCGUCCCCAGGAUAAGUACACCUCUUCCCCAUUCAUUGGAAAUCUGCAGUUGUCACAAUGAUCCACAAACCUGGCAAAGACCCAUACAACGUCACAAGUUACAGACCAAUCAGCCUCCUCAGUCAAGUCAGGAAGCUGUUUGAGAGAGUACUCACCCAAAGACUGAGCGGCCACACCGAGGAAAUGGGCCUCCUUGGAAUCCACCAAGCUGGCUUCAGGAAAGCAAGAUCAACCACCGAUAACAUUCUAAGACUGUCAGAGGACAUCCUUCGGAACUUCAAGAAAAAAAGAACUUACCCUGGCGGUUUUCUUUGACAUAGAGAAAGCAUUUGACAAGAUGUGGCACAAUGGACUGUGUUACCGGCUCGCAGACUCCAAUCUCAAACUACCGCUCUCCAUCAGAAACAUCAUCACCAGCUUUCUCCACAACCGUACAAUUAAAGUGAAGGUCUCCACAGCAAUAUCCUCACGCUUCACCCCGGAGGCGGGUGUCCCACAGGGGGCAGUUCUAAGCCCGCUACUUUUUCUACUCUACAUAACAGAUAUCUACUACCCUCCACCCACCAUAGGUCAAGUCUCACAGUUUGCCGAUGACCUCUGCUACUGGUCCAGCUCCAAAUGUCCAGAACUCCAGAAGUCUAUUGAAAUGAUCGAGUCGUGGUCUAACAUGUGGCGAGUAAAAUUCAACCCACAAAAGACCCAAUGCGUCCUCUUCACAAGAAGCACCAGCAAGAAAACCAGGAAACCCAUAGAUCUCAAACUCUACAGUGAAACAAUAAAAGUAGAAAAAGAAGCUAAAUUUAUUUGAGUCACCUUCCAGAAGAACAUGCGCUGGACAUAGAGCGAACAUAGAGAGAGCGGGACGAAAAAGACUAAACCACCUAAAAACGCGGCGCGGAAGAAAAUAUGGAGCCUCACCUCACACAGUGCUGAAAGUCUACAUCAGCUACAUCCGAUCCCUCUUUGAAUACGCCCUGCCAGCCUGGAUAACAGCUUCACCGCAGCAGAUGAAUCGGCUACAGAUAGUCCAAAACAAGGCAGCAAAAAUGGCUUACAGACUACCAAGAUACAUCAGCAACCGCUACGUUAACGGCAUAUCUGGACUGACAUCAAUCAACAAUAGGCAGUCAAUCAUUGGUCAGAAGUUCAUCAACAGAGCCACCCACAACCCAUCAUUGAAGGAAGCCGUGGGACAGGCCAAAUGCACCACAGAUACACCCAUGUCCAUAAUGCUGAAACUGACCUAAAAGAGAGGGGGAAAAAAUGUGUAGAUAUAUGUGAAUGCACUCCUUAGCACCCCCACCCCU
Molecule: long non-coding RNA, 1946 nt
Organism: Oncorhynchus gorbuscha (pink salmon)
Lineage: Eukaryota; Metazoa; Chordata; Actinopteri; Salmoniformes; Salmonidae
Exons: 3
Source: RefSeq, a predicted model, not a curated record